GUGCUUGCUCCGGCAGCACAUAUACUAAAAUUGGGACGAUACAGAGAAGAUUAGCAUGGCCCCUAUGCAGGGAUGACACGCAAAUCGUGGAGCAUUCCAUAUUUUU
Molecule: small nuclear RNA, 106 nt
Organism: Octodon degus (degu)
Lineage: Eukaryota; Metazoa; Chordata; Mammalia; Rodentia; Octodontidae
Source: Ensembl